This is an RNA transcript of Vitis vinifera (wine grape), 5727 nucleotides long. It is a transcript of the gene named kinetochore protein NDC80 homolog, with no coding region annotated. The record is from RefSeq and is a predicted model, not a curated record. The transcript is spliced from 9 exons. NCBI's taxonomy places the organism in Eukaryota, Viridiplantae, Streptophyta, Magnoliopsida, Vitales, Vitaceae.
AAUUCAUCUUUUAAGCAACAUUCAAAGUCAUAAGCUUCCUUUGGAUCCUAAUUUUUAUUGUUAUAGCUUGUAGGUGGAUUUUGUAUUUCUUAGUAAAGUUUAUUGGAUUCAAAGUCAUAAGCAACAUAGGCGGGAACAGAAGAGAGAGACGUAGCCGGAGAUGAAAGCCACCGGCCGCCGCCGUCCGAAGGACUCUUUCCGCCCACCGCCACCACCACCUCCCUCCGUCGACCACCACCGCCAACUCAGCCGCGACUCUGACGCUAGUUUCGCUGGCAGCCGCCCUUCCUCCCUUGGAAUCAGCCGCUCGUCCGCCGGCGAUGCCCUCACCGACCGGUCCUACCAACUCUCCGCCAUCCGCACCAUCAACUCCUUUCUCGCCUCCCAUUCCUCUCCUCUCUCCCUCAAACCCCCUCUCCCCUCCGCCAAAGACAUUUCCGAAACCCUAAAAUUCCUCAUCUCCCAACUCGAUUUCCCCACAACCAAACUUGAAGACGAUCUUCCUAUCCUCCUCAAGCACCUCAAUUGCCCGAUCAAGCUCAACAAGUCCGCUCUCAAAGCCCCCGGAACCCCACAUGCUUGGCCUUCCCUUUUAGGCGUAAUGCAUUGGUUGGUCCAGAUCGCAUUGUAUAAUGACCAUCUUGUGUCGAAUUUGCAGUGUUUUGACAAUACUUUUGUGUAUGCAUUGGAUAGUUACUUGCAUUAUAUUCGCGGGGAUGAUGAUGGGAUGGAGGCGGUGGAUAGGGAGUUUAUGGGGAAGUUGGAAAGGGAGAGGGAUGCAGUGGCGGAAGGUGUGAAGGCAUUGGAGAAGGAGGUGGCAGAGAGGGAGGGGAGGUUGGAGGAAUUGAGGUUGGGGCCUUCGGCUAAGGAGGUUGUGGAGAAGGAGAGGGGGGUGUUGGAGGAGGAUGUGAAGAAAUUUCAUGCAAUAAUUGCAGAAUUUUCAGGAAGGAUUGCAUCAGUGGAGAAGAUUUUGGAGGAGAAGGAGAAGGAGUUGGGGGUGAAGGUUGAGGAGAAUAAUAGAAUUUGCGAGGAGAAUGAAGAGCUGAAGAAGAGGGUUGAGUUGCAGACGUUUAAUGCAAGAGAUGCAGAGAGGAUGAAGAGGGAGUUGCAGGCAGUUGAGAGAGAUAUCACGGAGGCUGAGGUUGCAAGGAAUGGUUGGGAGGAGAAGUCUUGGGAUCUUGACACGACAAUUGGGCACAAGUUUAAGGAGCUUGAAGCUCUUUCAAUUGAAUGCAACCAAGCUCUCAGGAGGUUAAAGUUAGGAAAUGGUUUGCAGUAUGUGUUGAAUGCCAAAGGGUCUUCACCUGCUGAGGUUUUGGGAAUUGAUUACAAAUCAACGCUUAAGCCUGCACUUGACUCCUUUGCUGAUGACAUAAAUAAAAGCUCUAUGUCAAAGUUGGAAGAGUUGAUUUCUCUUCAGCAACAAUCAGUUGAAAAUGCUGCUAAAAUUGAAGCAAAAAGAAAUCGUCUUGCUGCACUUCAAUCCAGUAGUGAUGAAGUGGAAGCUCAAUUAAUUUUUUUGAAGAAGGAAUCGCAAAACUACACCUCCAGAUGUGCAACGGAAGCUAAGAAGUUAGUGGAGGAUGUUGAGAUAGAAACCCAUAAUGUAGAUAUUGUGGAAAGAGAAGUGGCAGAUGUUCUGGAGACUGCACUUGAUAAGGGUAAGAACUUGGAGCAAAUGGUAGAUGGAGUGCUUUCUGCUGAAGAUGUGAAUCAUGGAUCAGAAUUUGUCGAGUCAGUGGCAUCUCAGAUGAAUGAGCUAACAGUUACUCCUCCUUCAGAGUCAAUAGAGUGUCUAAAUCCAGGGGGAGCUGCUCCUGAUAUUGAUAAAAGAAUCCGAGCAUUAAAAAAGAAGAUUCAGCUCACAGAAGCCCAACAGCAGAAAGCAUCACAACAAGAAAUGAACCCAGAGCAAUUGGACAAGAUGAUGAAACUGGAAGGUUGGUGAAAGGAGCUAAAGCUUUUGGAGGACCAAAAGGCAGAACUGGCAGCAUCAUGAGUUGAGGGGACCAUAUGCAAGUCUUUGCACUCACACCCAACCCAAGUGUGAUGGACGCUUUUUUGCUGUGAAGGAGGUUUUGUUGACUGAUCAAGGACGGGCUGGGCCGGGCAGCAAAGCAUUGAUCAACUUCAACAGGUUAGAAGGAUGAAAUGUGCUGAUUGUGUAUUAGUUCAAUUCUUCCUUAAAUCUGUUUUCCAUACAUCUUGAUUAACCUCUAAGUAAUUGCAUACUCAGAUUAUGCAGUCAAAAGCAAUUUCAUAUUGAUCCAGGCUGCAUACUAGAGGGUUCUUUCCUAAUUUCUUUUAUAAUGGUUCAGGAGAUCUCUCUUUUGAGUCAGUUCCAACAUAAGCACAUAGUUCAGUAUUAUGGCUCGUUCAAGGUAUUUUUCAAUUCUUUCUUGUUGGAUUGGGUUCAUGUUAUGUACCAUUCUUGGAAUUAGGGCUACCAUUUGCAAUUUUGCAUUUUGUCAACUGUGGCAAUCUUAGAUUUUUUUUUUUCUCUUUUAUUUUGUGUUUAUUCAUGAAAUCCUGUCAAUUUCAUACCUGAAUAAAGGGGAGAAUUUGUCUAUAUAUAUAUAAAAUAAAAUAAAAUAAAAAAAUAAAAAACCUACAUAUUGCUGCAAGCAAGACACAAAUUUAGGAACUUUAUCUGGGUCUUGUAGAGUUGUUGCAUGAGUCCUCUGGCAUCUUCGUACCUCAGAGUACUUAAUCACAAAAUUUUAUUUCAGAGGCUAUAGAAGGAUUGCCCUGACUGGAUGACUCUUAAAGUGACAUGUUCUGUUUUAGCUGCUUGAUGAGAACUAAACCUUGGACUAAAAUUCAUGAGGGGGUCUCUUGAGCUUCCCAUCUGUUAUUUUUCAAGUUCACUUUUUCCUCUAAAGAAUCAUUUUUUAAUCUCUCAUCUACUUAUCGUAUCAGCUAUUUUAUCAUGGUAUUUGGCCUUAUUGUUGUUUCAAGCUAUGUUCUUGUCUUGUAGGUCUGCUUCUGAAUGCAUGUUUCUAAACAUUCAUGCAUCAUAGGCAUCUUUUAUUUCCCUUGCAGGCUGUCUAAUUGACAGUCUAAAUACUCAGUAGUUACAUUUUUCUGUUCUUUGGGGUGAAUUAGUAUUUUUCAUGUUUUUGUUGUUGUCUGUUCCUUUAUGAUCUGGUUCUGGUACUGCAUCAAGAGGAUUGGAGUUCAUGUCAUUUUUUUUCUUGCUUACUCACAAAAUGUCUUGCCAUUCCAGGACAAGACCAAACUUUAUAUCUUUCUUGAGCUUGCAACUGAAGGUUCACUUUUAAAUCUCUAUCAAGAGCAUAAACUGUCAGACUCCCAAGCCUCUAAAUACACCAGGCAGAUUGUGAAAGGUUUGAAAUAUCUACAUGAGCAUAAUGUAGUUCACAGGUGAUUCAAAUGAUCUUACUACUACAUUUUUUGGUUAUAUUGCUUGUGCUUUAUUUGUUUAUACCUUGCUCUAUCGACAUGCCAUUACUGCUUGAAACAUGUGCUGAUUAUUUCAAUUAUCUGCCUUUGCUACCAAGAGAAUUGCAUAUGCAUAAACUAAAUGGCCUUCUUACUCAGGGAAAAUUGGUUCACUCUGCUGAGAAAGUUCUUCAGUUUUUAUUUUAUUAAUUUAUUUUUGUUUUUAUCUUCUUGAAACAUUCAAUAUUAUUUGGAUUGCACCAGUUAGCCCACUUACUGAAUUCUGUGAUUACAGACUGCUUGGUGAAGUGAAAAGUUCAACACUCCCACCUGCCCUCUUCCAGGAAAAGAAAAAUGGAAAAACCAAAAACAAAAAGAAGAGUUAGGAGCAUGGAUGUUAAACAUGGUCAUUAUCUGAUAACUAAGAUGAGCCUACCCAAAGCCUUGGUGUAGAUAUAGAUAUCCCCAAUUUUCUGUGUACCUUACAUUGUGUCUUCACAUGUGGGGUUUACGUUGUUUGUUUUGAGAUUAUUGUGUAUCUUAAUAGUUUAAUCCUUUCAUAAAACUCCAUGUCAAUUAUAAUAUGAGGUGUGGUCCAGUUAUCAAAUAACAACCUCAUAUCUGCAUCAACUAUAAAGAACUCCAUUUCCAUUUGACUUCAUGCAAUUAGCUGUAUUAUAUAUCACUUUGUAUAUUCUGCCUCAGUGCUUGAUCUUGCUAUAAUAUCCUCUUUUUUUUUUUAAUUUGUAAGUCAAAAUUUUCUUUAAAAGCAACAUAUAAGAAAAAAUACAUAAUAAUGAUUCAAACUCUCUCUAUCUCUCUGAUUCACUUGAUUUGAGUGUCUCUUCAAGAGAGUUUUUGGGUCAUGAUUACAGAAUGGAAACCUGAAAAUUGAAAGAAUCCUAAUGCAAAAGCCAUUUACAAUGCUACAAACUCUCUCUCUCUCUCUCUCUCAUGUGAUUGAGAUAACUAGCAAGGCUAGAACCAUGGAGGGAUGUGAUCAUGGGACUCAGAAGUGCCACCAGUAGGUCAUAAGGGAAAUUAGGCUUAUUGAUUUGGUCAUGCGCAACAAAGGCCAAUAAUUGCAUUGUUAAGAAGAGAUGGGUGGACAUUGGGAAUCAAUUGAGGUUACUUCAGGAAAUUAGACAUUUGGAAUGACAGUUGAAGCCACAAUGCUGUACAUUUACUUACACAUAAAUUGUUUAUGUUGUAAUACUAAUUGGUUCUGUAUCAUCUUUGAGGGAUAUCUGGUGGAUGUAAAUGGAACCGUGAAACUUGUGGAUUUUGGAUUGGCAAAGCUUUGCAAAUUGAAAGACAAUCUUUUAAAGGGACUGCAUUCUGGAUGGCCCCUGAGCAGGUGGUUGCGUCAGAAAAGGAAAUCACAUGAUUGAAUUGGGUUAUUGAAUAGCCCCGACUAUUGGACUGGAGCUAUGCCAACUAACAAAUUGAUAAGUUGUUUUCCGAACUGUUGCUCUUUCUAAGAUUUUAUCCUACAAGGCAUUUAGUCUUACCAAUGCAUUUUGAUUUAGCAUCAGUCAUUAGUAUCUUUCUGUACAACUGCCAAUAUACUGACACUAAUAGAUGCAUGGAACCACUGAAUGCUCAAUUGAUGAGGAUUUUCCAUUCAAAUCUGAGAAUUUAAGCAUCAAGCAUCAACAAAAUAUGGUCACCAGCAAUCUAAAUUUUAGCUCGAUAUUGCCCUUCUGAAAUAAAUUUCUGACUCUUUGCCCCUGAGAAUGUAUUGUGGUUUUGCAACCGCCCAGAUCUGUGGAUUUGAAUCAGUUUUUAGUUUCAAAUCAUGCUCAAACACCCUAGUCUUACAACUGUGUUUAUUUAUAAAUCCUGCACCAGUUGGGAGUAGAACUCUUAAAUCCCUGUUCUAAAUCAUGUCCAAAACAUGUUAUAAGUAUUUGUGUUAACCAUAUUUGAAAAUUUUUUUAUGUGGCACAGGAUGCUCCAAGCAUUACAGUUUCUUGUAAGUGUUGAUUUUACAAAUAAUUUGUGCCACUGUAGGUCAUUAAUGAGGACAAACGAGAGAACGAUGGUUAUGGGUUUGCAGCUGAUACAUGGAGCCUCGGCAACAUCCAUAUCCCGAAUUGGAGCCGGUAUGUAUAAACUUCAAUGGAAACAAAUAAUCAUUCCAACAUUACAUUCUUAUAUGCAUCCAAACAUAAGAAUUGGAAUCACCAAAUCUAUUUCUAUUCAAGAAGAUAUAGGAAUGAAAACAAAGUUUUUAUUUUCAUUCCUCAUUCCCAUAUACCAAACAUGGCUUCAGGGCAAUGGUAUGUUUACUUAUCUUAAAUAUUUAGUAUUAGCAACUUGCCC